GGUUGUAUCUCAGUGGUAGCGCACUUGCCUAGCAUGCAUGAGGACCUGGGUUCAAACCUCAGCACCA
RNAcentral lists this transfer RNA (67 nucleotides) under Marmota monax (woodchuck). RNAcentral's name for it is "tRNA.Ala". The record is from RNAcentral. Lineage: Eukaryota; Metazoa; Chordata; Mammalia; Rodentia; Sciuridae.